UACGUAGGGGGCAAGCGUUGUCCGGAAUCAUUGGGCGUAAAGAGCGCGUAGGCGGCCCUGUAAGUCCGCUGUGAAAGUCAAGGGCUCAACCUUGGAUGCCGGUGGAUACUGCGGGGCUAGAGUGCGGAAGGGGCAACUGGAAUUCUCGGUGUAGCGGUGAAAUGCGUAGAUAUCGAGAGGAACACCUGCGGCGAAGGCGGGUUGCUGGGCUGACACUGACGCUGAGGAGCGAAGCGUGGGAGCGAACAGG
RNAcentral lists this ribosomal RNA (250 nucleotides) under uncultured bacterium. RNAcentral describes it as "partial 16S ribosomal RNA". It matches the Rfam family "Bacterial small subunit ribosomal RNA", at positions 524 to 776 of the family's 1533-position model. The record is from RNAcentral.